RNAcentral lists this ribosomal RNA (496 nucleotides) under uncultured bacterium. Its description in RNAcentral is "partial 16S ribosomal RNA". It matches the Rfam family "Bacterial small subunit ribosomal RNA", at positions 28 to 506 of the family's 1533-position model. The record is from RNAcentral.
GAUGAACGCUGGCGGCGUGCCUAAUACAUGCAAGUCGAGCGAACAGACGAGGAGCUUGCUCCUCUGACGUUAGCGGCGGACGGGUGAGUAACACGUGGAUAACCUACCUAUAAGACUGGGAUAACUUCGGGAAACCGGAGCUAAUACCGGAUAAUAUAUUGAACCGCAUGGUUCAAUAGUGAAAGACGGUUUUGCUGUCACUUAUAGAUGGAUCCGCGCCGCAUUAGCUAGUUGGUAAGGUAACGGCUUACCAAGGCAACGAUGCGUAGCCGACCUGAGAGGGUGAUCGGCCACACCGGAACUGAGACACGGUCCAGACGCCUACGGGAGGCAGCAGUAGGGAAUCUUCCGCAAUGGGCGAAAGCUUGACGGAGCAACGCCGCGUGAGUGAUGAAGGUCUUCGGAUCGUAAAACUCUGUUAUUAGGGAAGAACAAAUGUGUAAGUAACUAUGCACGUCUGGACGGUACCUAAUCAGAAAGCCACGGCUAACUACGU